RNAcentral lists this long non-coding RNA (921 nucleotides) under Dermacentor andersoni. RNAcentral describes it as "uncharacterized LOC126533161". Lineage: Eukaryota; Metazoa; Arthropoda; Arachnida; Ixodida; Ixodidae. The record is from RNAcentral.
GUUGAUCGAACCGCCGGUUUCUUUGGCUGUGGUCCUUGGGUUGACCUCUGUGCUCGUUUCAGCAUUCAGCGCAUGCACGGUCGUUCCUGGUUUGAUGGUUUACUAUCGUCUAUGGACAUCCGCUUUUGGAUUGGUCGAACCGCUGGUUUCUUUGGCUUUGAUCCUUGGGUUGACCUCUGUGCUCGUUUCAGCAUUCAGCGCAUGCACGGUCGUUCCUGGAGGUUCCUGGUUUGAUGGUUUACUAUCGUCUAUGGACAUCAGCUUUUGGAGUGGUCGAACCGCUGGUUUCUUUGGCUUCGAUCCUUGGGUUGACCUCUGUGCUCGUUUCAGCGUUCAGCGCAUGCACGGUCGUUCCUGGUUUGAUGGUUUACUAUCGUCUAUGGACAUCCGCUUUUUGGUUGGUCGAACCGCUGGUUUCUUUGGCAUUGGUCCUUGGGUUGAUCUGUGCUCGUUUCAGCAUUCAACGGAUUUGUUCAGGCGUCUUUCUCGUGCCAGGAACGGUCUUCACACAUACUCGGUUCUUCCACGUCGCUCAUCACUGACUCGAAAAGAAUAACACACCACUACAAAAGGACACAAUGUCAAUGAACGGGAAAGGGGAGGGUAUUCUCGCCAACUGAAAUUUCCUUAUUUGCUCAUGGUGAUAAUGACGUCCAUCUUUAAGACUGGUUGGUGGUAAGUGCCACCAGGCUCGCUGUUUAGUUUUUUUGGUGUCCUUGACUCACCAAACGCUUUUGUGGAUCUACAUGGUCGAAGUUAUGUAGUACCUGUCGUUUGUUUAUCGGACAGUGCUACCCGCUGUCGUCGCUUGUUCAACACAUAUACUGCGCCGUAGUUUGAUAUGUGUCCACAACUAUCGCGUACUCUGCAAGAUCGGUAGGAAUGAAGGACCAUGGCGCCCUUCACGCGGCUGUGACGUCA